CUAAGGUGGAUUUGACAAUUGACUUCUUAUUUAACCUAUAUGUUCCAAGGGAUAAAUAUAAUGGAACAAAUCGUGUUAUAAAUACCAGGAACCUUAACCCAAUUCUCACAAGUCACAACACAAGUACUUACCAAUUACCAUCAAAAAAAGUUGUCGCAAGUACAAAAGCAAAACAAAGUUGGAAAAAAAAUGGCCAAAACCACUACUUUCGGCCUUAUCGCCAUAUGGCUUAUGGUCCUUCUAAUUGCAAACACGGAAAUCCAAACUGCAGAAGCACAGAGGCAGCCUACCUGUGGAUGGCUAAGAAUUGGGACUUUACAUAGAUUCCGCUGCAACACCAGGUGCAAUGACAAUUGCCGGAACAGGAGGCCGCGAACUAUUACUGACUCAAGAGGCAGAUAUGGUCGUUGCACUGACGGUUCUGGCUUUACUCGCAGAGUCUGCGAGUGUUACUUCCGUUGCUAAGCUUAGCUUAGCGACUACUUAUCAUCCAACUAUCAUGUGAAAGACUCCUGCAGUUCAAAAAGUGUGUGUAAUAUGUACUCCACUCCAGUCUCCGUUCAUGUGAACUAUAGUUUAUAAAUUAUGAUUUAUAGUUGUGUAAUAAAGUGGAGUAAAGUAACCAAAGAAUUAUUAAAGUUGUUGUUAAACCUAUUACUAUGUGUAUGGAUUAAUAAAGACAGUGUUGUUGUUGCGUGUCGAA
Beta vulgaris subsp. vulgaris (sugar beet) is the source of this 703-nucleotide long non-coding RNA. RefSeq lists it as uncharacterized. NCBI's taxonomy places the organism in Eukaryota, Viridiplantae, Streptophyta, Magnoliopsida, Caryophyllales, Amaranthaceae. The transcript has 2 exons. The record is from RefSeq and is a predicted model, not a curated record.